AGUGAACGCUGGCGGUAGGCCUAACACAUGCAAGUCGAACGGCAGCACAGAGGAGCUUGCUCCUUGGGUGGCGAGUGGCGGACGGGUGAGGAAUACAUCGGAAUCUACUCUGUCGUGGGGGAUAACGUAGGGAAACUUACGCUAAUACCGCAUACGACCUACGGGUGAAAGCAGGGGAUCUUCGGACCUUGCGCGAUUGAAUGAGCCGAUGUCGGAUUAGCUAGUUGGCGGGGUAAAGGCCCACCAAGGCGACGAUCCGUAGCUGGUCUGGGAGGAUGAUCAGCCACACUGGGACGGAGACACGGUCCAGACUCCUACGGGAGGCAGCAGUGGGGAAUAUUGGACAAUGGGCGCAAGCCUGAUCCAGCCAUACCGGGUGGGUGAAGAAGGCCUUCGGGUUGUAAAGCCCUUUUGUUGGGAAAGAAAUCCAUCUGGUUAAUACCCGGGUGGGAUGACGGUACCCAAAGAAUAAGCACCGGCUAACUACGUGCCAGCAGCCGCCGUAA
RNAcentral lists this ribosomal RNA (506 nucleotides) under uncultured bacterium. RNAcentral's name for it is "partial 16S ribosomal RNA". It matches the Rfam family "Bacterial small subunit ribosomal RNA", at positions 29 to 523 of the family's 1533-position model. The record is from RNAcentral.